GAGAGACGUCUGGCAAAAUGAGUCUGAUGAAGUUGGUGCGACAAACAGCCAUUUAAUGAUAUGACUGCACUUCUGAAAAUCAGGAAGAAGAGACGAUUGUUAGAA
This is a long non-coding RNA of Neltuma alba, 105 nucleotides long. RefSeq lists it as uncharacterized. Lineage: Eukaryota; Viridiplantae; Streptophyta; Magnoliopsida; Fabales; Fabaceae. The transcript is spliced from 3 exons. The record is from RefSeq and is a predicted model, not a curated record.